GCAUUGUUGGUUCAGUGGCAGAAUUCUAACCUUGCAUGUAGGAGACCCAGGUUCAAUUCCUGGCCAGUGCA
Molecule: transfer RNA, 71 nt
Filed under: Loxodonta africana (African savanna elephant)
Lineage: Eukaryota; Metazoa; Chordata; Mammalia; Proboscidea; Elephantidae
Rfam family: tRNA
About the family: Transfer RNA (tRNA) molecules are approximately 80 nucleotides in length. Their secondary structure includes four short double-helical elements and three loops (D, anti-codon, and T loops).
Source: Rfam by way of RNAcentral